This 3050-nucleotide long non-coding RNA is filed under the name Coffea arabica (coffee). RNAcentral describes it as "long non-coding RNA (CARA_LNC007114)". Lineage: Eukaryota; Viridiplantae; Streptophyta; Magnoliopsida; Gentianales; Rubiaceae. The record is from RNAcentral.
UCAUUCUACGGUAUCUCAAGUGACUUGGAGGUUUGUGGAGGCCAUUGAGAAGAAGGGAAUUCAGCAUAUCAGAUGGCCUUCCACAGAGAAUGAGCUAAUGGAGAUAAAGUCCAAAUUUGAACAGAUUCGAGGUCUUCCAAAUUGUUGUGGAGCAAUUGACACCACUCAUAUCGUACUGCUGUUAUCAACAUCUGAGCCGAGAACUGAUGUAUGGCUGGAUUCAAAGGAGAAUCACAGUAUGCCUCUGCAGGCAAUAGUUGGUCCCAACAUGAAGUUCCUAGAUGUAUUCAGUGGAUUGCCUGGAAUGUUUAGUGAAAGUUCACUGAUACGGUUUUCAUCCUUCUAUAAAAAAUGUCAGAAUGGACAGAGGUUUGGGAAGAAAGUAAGACUAUCCAAAGAAGCUGAAUUGCAGGAAUAUGUAAUUGGUGAUUCAGCAUAUCCAUUGCUGCCUUGGCUUCUAACUCCUUAUCAGGGAAAAGAACUUUCACAAACAAAAGAUGAUUUUAAUAAACAUCUCUUUGCAACUCAUAUUGUGGCACAGAGAGCAUUAGCAAGGUUGAAGGACGUCUGGAAGAUCGUAAAUGGAGUUAUGUGGAGACCUGACAAGAACAAGCUUCCAAGUUUUAUACUUGUAUGUUGCAUUCUCCAUAAUAUUAUCAUUGACAUGGAAGAUGAGUUACUUGAUGAAUUGCCACUAUCCCACCACCACGAUCCAGGAUAUGGACAGGUGGUCUGCAAUUCAGCUGAUGAGACUGCCUCAGUUCUGAGGGAUAAGCUUGCUCUAUACCUGUCUGAGAAAGGGCACCCUUGAAUAUGUCAUACCUUUGAUGAUUUAAAAGAGGAGUCUAUAGGUGGAAGGCCAUUUACUGUGAAGUUGGAAAUGCAAACCUGAAAUUGGUGUCCUUAUGCUAUAUAACAAGAGUUUGCUUGGUGCUAUUCAUCUCUUUUCGACUGCUUGUUUUGGGGUAUUUCAGUAAUUUUGUAUAGGUGGUUUAGUAAUUUUUAGCUUUGAGUGCUAGUGGUAAGAACAAGGAGUGUUGGAAUUAUUCCUUUGUGCUUAAUUUUGUUUCAAUGUGUCUGUUGCACAUCAGAUGAUUAUAAUGAUGGGCAGAUAUGCUUGGAUGGAAUUACUUGGAUGUGUCUCAGUGAGCCUUUUAAACAAUUUCGGUUAUUAAAGUCUCCAGCUUUUUGUAAUUUAGAAUUACUUAUUGAAUGUCUAUUAGGUUUGUCUUGCCACCAUUAUUUCAUGGGUCUGAAUGCGUGAUCUUUCUUUUUCCUCCCUUAUAGUUGCUAUGGUUACUUCACCUUAUGGUUCCUCCUUUAGAUCCUGGCCUUUUGCUACAUUAGCUAUAUCAAUCCUUCACCUUUACUCUUUAGGCUGGUAUGGCUUUUUUCCAGGUAUGACAUUUUUUUUUGGUCGAUUCGUGGGUAAGAGUGGUUUGAUUUUUUUCUAAGACCUUUAAUGCGAAUUAGGCCUCUAAUUACUUGAAUAGCCAUUACAAUCAUAAUAGUUAUUUGUUUGAAAGUCUUGCUCUUCUUACCUUCUGCAUAGUAUAGCUUUGUUUUUCUUUCUCACUGUCCUGUUAGUUUUCCUGGUUAUCUCGUAGGAUGCUAUUUCGUGUUCUAAGUAGUUAUGUUUAAUUUCUUUUUCUCUCUGUUGUUCGCUUCUUUUAUGUUUUUUAAAAAUUUCACAAUUCCCCAAUCAAAAAUUUUGAAUUAGAAACUUUCCAUUGUGAAUUCCAUUUUCUUGUCUGGUUAAUUCUUUCUUUUUGUUCUUUGUUUUUUUUUUUUUUUGAAUUUUUGUGUUCCCCAAUUUUUUCAUUUUUUUUUUUGGUGCAAGCAAGUUUAGGUUCAGUUUAUAACUUCUUUAGCUGAGAAUAUACCAAUUAAGGUAUGCAUAUCAUUAGUGUUGAUGGCUUUCUUAAACUCAUUGGAUUGCAAUUACCUGAUAGUUGUUUAGGUAUGCUAAUUAGUGUUGCAUAUCAGUACUUUAGAUUGAGUACAUUUUUUGAAUUCCUAGUUAAUUAUGUCUGUUGGUUAAUUAAUGCUUUAUAUUAAUUUUCUCUGAAGCUAUUGCAAUUGUCUUUGAGUAUUGCAUUUUGUCUGAAAUAGCAAACUUUAAAGGUAAAAGUUCAAAACUUUAAAUAUUUGUCUCCCUCCCCCUUUGCAUUUCUGAAGUACAAGUGCAUAAAAGUUUGAUCUUUUAAAGAAAACUUCCACUGUUCUGGCUUUACUUAGUUUGUUAGGCAUUGGAGGCCCUGAACAUCUCUCUUGAACGGUUCCCUCCAGAGGUGUAUAUUUUUUUCGUUCCUCAGUUGUGCUUUUCGACGAGUUUUUGUAGAACACUUUUGGAAUUUUGAUUUUCUUGAUCUGAUAUUUGACUGGUCGUACAAGUCCAAUCAUACAUUUCAGGUAAUUUAAAUUCAUUCCCAUCAAAGGGCCUGGAUAGCUUUGAAUCUAUUUUUGACGUCUAAAAGAACUUUUGAAUAUGUACGUGCGAAGGAGCAGAUGACGGUGCAAGACACAUCAUGCCUUUAGCAAUGGCAAACCAAUGUCACUAUAUGAUCAAGUUGCUUUAGCCUUGAGAAGGCUUAGGUCUGGUAGUUCACUUAUUACAACUGGUGAUUCAUCUGGGACACAUCAUUCUAUGGUGCCUCAAGUGACUUGGACGUUUGUGGAGGCCAUUGAAGGGAUGGGGAUUCAGCAUAUCAAAUGGCCUUCGACAGAAAAUGAGCUGAUGGAGAUGAAGUCAAUGUUUUAACAGAUUCAAGGCCUUCCAAAUUGUUGUUGAGCAAUUGACACCACCAAUAUUGUAAUGCUGUUAUCCACAUCGGAGCCAAGAACUGAUGUGUUGCUUGAUUCGAAGGAGAAUCACAGGAUGCCUUUGCAGGCAAUAGUUGGUCCCAACAUGAAGUUCCUGGAUGUAUUCAGUAGAUUGCCUGGAAAGUUUAGUUAAAGUUCACUGCUACAGUAUUCAACCUUCUAUAACAAAUGUACAAAUGGAGAGAGGUCAGGGAAGAAAGCAAGACCAUCCCAAGAAGCUGAAUUAC